This is a long non-coding RNA of Drosophila mauritiana, 251 nucleotides long. RefSeq lists it as uncharacterized. NCBI's taxonomy places the organism in Eukaryota, Metazoa, Arthropoda, Insecta, Diptera, Drosophilidae. The transcript has 2 exons. The record is from RefSeq and is a predicted model, not a curated record.
AUUUCGUUUCGAACGCGAGAACCGUGCGGACGUGUGCGGUUGAAACAGAAACCGAAACAGCGGCCACCGAAAAAUUCGAAGAGACCACUAAGAAAUAGAAACAAUUAAUGUGAAGCCCCCGCCCCGACCCCUCUGCAAUUUUGAGUCAAUUGUGUGCCUAAAACCAAACGAACAAAUCUGACAGUUUUUGUUGCAUUUUUUUAUUGUGUUUGACUACAUAGCGUAAGCAAGUGCAAGUUCUUAAAAAAAAA